Molecule: ribosomal RNA, 497 nt
Filed under: uncultured bacterium
Lineage: Bacteria
Description: partial 16S ribosomal RNA
Rfam family: Bacterial small subunit ribosomal RNA
Source: RNAcentral
GACGAACGCUGGCGGCGUGCCUAAUACAUGCAAGUUGAGCGCUGGGGGGUGGUACUUGUACCAACUGGGUGAGCAGCGAACGGGUGAGUAACGCGUGGGGAAUCUGCCUUUGAGCGGGGGACAACAUCGGGAAACGAGUGCUAAUACCGCAUAAAAACUUUAACCACAAGGUUUAAGUUUGAAAGAUGCAAUUGCAUCACCCAAAGAUGAUCCCGCGUUGUAUUAGCUAGUUUGUUAGGGAAAGGCUCACCAAGGCGAUGAUACAUAGCCGACCCUGGAGGGUGGUCGGCCCCCUCUGGACCUGGACACCGCCCAAGCUCCUUCGGGAGGCAGCCGGUGGGGAACUUUGGCCAUGGACGAAAGUCCUACCGGGCCACGCCGCGGGGGUGAAGAAGGGUCUCGGAUCGGAAAACCUCUUUUAUAGGGAAGAACGUUAGUGGGAGGUGAAAGCUCAUCAAUUGACGGUACCUACCCAGAAAGGGACGGCUAACUACGUG